This 895-nucleotide long non-coding RNA is filed under the name Homo sapiens (human). Its description in RNAcentral is "HSALNT0119278". Lineage: Eukaryota; Metazoa; Chordata; Mammalia; Primates; Hominidae. The record is from RNAcentral.
CUAUAGGUUAUAACCUGCUUUUUGAGGCAGUACUGAACUUACAGACCUUAGAACCACCCUCCACUAGACAGUGUGAGACUUGUGCUUCAGGGGCUCAGAACACACAACAUGUUCGUCACUUCAACCCUAAGAACAAGCAAAGACAUUGAAAACAAAGUACCAGCAGACGCCAAGUCUUUUAACAAGAGGAGUCUAUCCAUAGCCACUCAAAUAAGAAUACGCUGAUUUGAAGAAUCUUCUGCUGGGAACCGGGGAUGGGAAAUUAGAGGUCAUAAGACCCUCAUUUCAGAAGAGGUCCUGCCCAUACCUGGAAGGGAUGCUACACAGUGAGACCAAGAAGACUGAACAGAGAGGCCUUUCUGGGUUUCCCCUCUGAGUCUAUUAGCAUCAGCUGUAUCCCUUUUGUUCCAUCACAUUUCUACAUGGUUGCUCAGUCUUCAAUCGUGCCCAUUCAGUGAAAUCUCCAUAAGACGCCCAAAGAGGAUGGGGUACAGAGAGCUUGGACAGCUGAACACAAAGAGACUUACAGGAAAGUGAACAAGACUCAUCUACAGUAGGGUGGGAGCACCCUAACUCCAUGCGAAUGGAAGCUCCUGCACUUGGUACCUUUUCAAACCUCGCACUAUGAAUUUCUUUAUCUGGCUUUUUAUUUAUAUCCUUUAAAAUAUCUUUUAUAAUAAAUGGAUAAAUGUGUUUCCCUGAGUUUUGUGAGCUGCUCUAGCAAAUUGACUACGCUUAAAGAGGGGGUUGUGGGAACCCCAACCGGAAGCUGGUAGAUCAGAAGUUCAGAGGCCUGGACUUGCGACUGGUGUCUGACGCGGGGCAGUCUUGUGGGAACUGACACUAUCUCCUGGAAGAUGACAUAAGAAUUGAAUUGGAUUAGAAGACGCCCAGC